RNAcentral lists this ribosomal RNA (253 nucleotides) under uncultured bacterium. Its description in RNAcentral is "partial 16S ribosomal RNA". It matches the Rfam family "Bacterial small subunit ribosomal RNA", at positions 524 to 776 of the family's 1533-position model. The record is from RNAcentral.
UACGAAGGGGGCUAGCGUUGUUCGGAAUUACUGGGCGUAAAGCGCACGUAGGCGGAUUUGUAAGUCAGGGGUGAAAUCCCGGGGCCCAACCUCGGAACUGCCUUUGAUACUGCAAAUCUCGAGUCCGGAAGAGGUGAGUGGAAUUCCUAGUGUAGAGGUGAAAUUCGUAGAUAUUAGGAAGAACACCAGUGGCGAAGGCGGCUCACUGGUCCGGUACUGACGCUGAGGUGCGAAAGCGUGGGGAGCAAACAGG